RNAcentral lists this ribosomal RNA (497 nucleotides) under uncultured bacterium. Its description in RNAcentral is "partial 16S ribosomal RNA". It matches the Rfam family "Bacterial small subunit ribosomal RNA", at positions 28 to 507 of the family's 1533-position model. The record is from RNAcentral.
GACGAACGCUGGCGGCGUGCCUAAUACAUGCAAGUUGAGCGCUGAAGGUUGGUACUUGUACCAACUGGAUGAGCAGCGAACGGGUGAGUAACGCGUGGGGAAUCUGCCUUUGAGCGGGGGACAACAUUUGGAAACGAAUGCUAAUACCGCAUAAAAACUUUAAACACAAGUUUUAAGUUUGAAAGAUGCAAUUGCAUCACUCAAAGAUGAUCCCGCGUUGUAUUAGCUAGUUGGUGAGGUAAAGGCUCACCAAGGCGAUGAUACAUAGCCGACCUGAGAGGGUGAGCGGCCACAUUGGGACGGAGACACGGCCCAAACUCCUACGGGAGGCAGCAGUAGGGAAUCGUCGGCAAUGGACGAAAGUCUGACCGAGCAACGCCGCGUGAGUGAAGAAGGUUUUCGGAUCGUAAAACUCGGUUGGUAGAGAAGAACGUUGGUGAGAGUGGAAAGCUCAUCAAGUGACGGUAACUACCCAGAAAGGGACGGCUAACUACGUG